GUUUCCAUUUCUCUAUGCAGAAGGGCACAUCAGUUCUAAGAAAAUAACUAUUUAGUAACAAUUGCCUCCCUGCUGUUGCGCUCACUGCCCAGUAGAUGGCGCUGGGAAUACGGCCACUAAGACGGUCGCUUAGUGCAAUAAAACAGCUUGGGAAGUGCAUGUGAUUCGCUGGGCGGCCGCAGUAAAGCGUCGCUGUAGCCCCCGGUAGCGGGGAGAGCGUUGUACAGAUUCUCGGAAUCCAAGCGCCUUGGAAGUUCUGUCCUGGCAGUUAUCCUUUUCCGAGCCCGCGGCCCCUUCCUGAGAUCUCCUCCCCCUCGGCUCCCUGGGCCCGGCGCUGGUGCUUAUGAGAGUGAAGGAUCCAUCGGCGGCGAGACAGUUCCAUGGCGAGGGGUGGAGCGACGAGACUCUUCAUUAAACUGUUAUUUGAUUUCUUGUCUGCAUCAAAUAAGAGCCUUGUCUAUACGGUUUAGAUUGUAAGCUCUUUGGGGCAGUGAGUGAAGCUGAUAUGAUACAGUGCCGGCCUAUUAAGAACAAUAAAACUAAUGAAACCCAAA
Molecule: long non-coding RNA, 554 nt
Organism: Xenopus tropicalis (tropical clawed frog)
Lineage: Eukaryota; Metazoa; Chordata; Amphibia; Anura; Pipidae
Exons: 2
Source: RefSeq, a predicted model, not a curated record